This 492-nucleotide ribosomal RNA is filed under the name uncultured bacterium. RNAcentral describes it as "partial 16S ribosomal RNA". It matches the Rfam family "Bacterial small subunit ribosomal RNA", at positions 29 to 507 of the family's 1533-position model. The record is from RNAcentral.
AUUGAACGCUGGCGGCAUGCUUUACACAUGCAAGUCGAACGGUAACAGGCCUUCGGGUGCUGACGAGUGGCGAACGGGUGCGUAAUGCAUCGGAACGUACCCAGAGGUGGGGGAUAACGCAGCGAAAGCUGUGCUAAUACCGCAUGUGAUCUGAGGAUGACAGCGGGGGACCGAGCAGCAAUGUUUGGCCUCGCGCCUUUGGAGCGGCCGAUGUCGGAUUAGCUAGUUGGUGGGGUAAAGGCCUACCAAGGCGACGAUCCGUAGCUGGUCUGAGAGGACGACCAGCCACACUGGAACUGAGACACGGCCCAGACUCCCGCGGGAGGCAGCAGUGGGGAAUCUUGGACAAUGGGCGCAAGCCUGAUCCAGCAAUCCCGCGGGCGGGAAGAAGGCCUUCGGGUUGUAAACCGCUUUUGGCAGGAACGAAACGGUGUCCGCUAAUACCGGGCGCUAAUGACGGUACCUGCAGAAUAAGCACCGGCUAACUACGUG